Long non-coding RNA from Esox lucius (northern pike), 1377 nucleotides. RefSeq lists it as uncharacterized. NCBI's taxonomy places the organism in Eukaryota, Metazoa, Chordata, Actinopteri, Esociformes, Esocidae. The record is from RefSeq and is a predicted model, not a curated record. The transcript is spliced from 5 exons.
AUUUAGGAAGAAUACAAGCUUUCCAAGAGGACACAAAACUGUGUAUUCAAAUCGUCACCUCCAAAAUGUUCCCCUGUCCUAUUUGUGGGAAAAGCUUUAUGGUUAUUCAAUCCCAUUGAAAAAUAGUUCAUAAAGUUAGCAACACAGAGGAGAGAAAGCUCCUUCUAGAUCUGGUUAAGGAUAGAGGGGUGGUCCGAAACACACAUUGUCCCCUGUGCCUGCAGAAGACUUCCAAGCCAUCUCGGCACAUUCAGCUGAAACACAAGAUUGCUGAUGCAGAUAUCAAAGCACAACUGUCCAUCUUAAGAAAAGGCCUCACACUCUCCAAGUUAAAGGCUCUCAGAAUGACCAAUCCACCUUGUCCACUGGUCACUGACUUUGACCUGAAGGAGCUGGACAAUGAGGGUGAAACCACAGUGGAGACAUGUCCCUGGAAGAAGGCUCCCUAUCAUCUCAGUUGAACGUGAGUGAAGACAAGUCCCAUGAAGAAGGUUCCCUUUUGGCUCUACUGAAUGACAGUGAAGACAUGUCCCUGCAGGAAGAUCCCUUUUCCUGCCUUGCAGACUUUUCCCUGGGAGAAUGUUCCUUUUCAUCUCUGUUAGGAGAGCUGGAGUUUCCUGAACUCUAAGGGAAACAAGACAAGAGAAGAUUCGGUGAAACCCUCCACACACCUUCUUCUGGAUCUUUGAUAAGUACAGGUAAGCCUAAAAGUAUUCAUACCCAUGCCAAAUUUUGAGCCAUAGUGAAUUUUUAUUUGACCAUUAGGUUUCUUCUGGGAUAUGAAUAAUGUUGCACAAGGCGUUUUCCUUAAAAUAAAUAGUUACAUUUGUAUUUCCAGCACAAUGGUCAAAUAAAAAUUCACUACAGCAAGGGGUAUGAAUACUUUUUGGCUUAACUGUUCAAUUGAAUUAUUUAUAAUUGUCAAAAGUGGCAUAAACAGGGUUGUUAUUGUUGGCACAUCCGUUCUUGUUUAAAUAUUAAUUGUUGUUAUUGAUAUUUAUUGUUGAAAUUGUUCACUUAUAUUUACUUUUCUAUAGUUUGUUUUUUGCAAUUAAUAGUUGAAUUGUUUAUUCUCAUUUUUCUUUAUUAGAGAAAUAUAUUGUUAAGGUGUUAUUGCACUUUCAACUCUAAAUGUACUGACAGUCAAACUCAAUAGAUCAAUUUGGCUAAGGACUGUAAUAUGUUUUGAAGCGAAAACAUAUCUCUUAGUGUUUAUGAAGUAUUUAUAAUUGACAAAAGUGGCAUAAACAGGGUUGUUGUUGUUGGCACAUCUGUUCUUGUUUAAAUAUUAAUUGUUGUUAUUGAUAAAGUGUCAUUUAUUUAUUGUUGAAAUUGUUCUUUUAUAUUGACUUUUCUUUUUUGCAAUUAAUAGUUGAA